AAAGUUGCAAGUAGGAAAAUAGGAAAUCUUAUUUAGACGGUUGCUAGGAAGAGGAAGUAGAUUUAGCUUGUGUGUCUUUGACAAACAGGAAACAGAUUGACAACGCACACACAUAUUGAGGAACUUCAAACCUGAAGACAUAAGGGCAAAUAUGACACUUGUGCUGCAUGUACACAAAUAAGGUAUAGAACAUAAAUUGGACCAAUGGCACACUUGCUUAGGCUACCUCAACCCCCCCAUUAUUAGGUGUGUUUGAAGUAUAAAUAAUGCUGUUAUGAUGAUACAUGUUCAGACAUUGUGCGGCGACACUUGUCUCCAAAAGCUUUUGUAAUAAACGGAAUAUGCGGUACGAUAAUUGACCUGACUCCUGGUGUUUUAUUCUCCUUUCCAACAAACCAACUCGGGGAAGUGUUAGACUUCAACAGAACUAACCAAGAAGUGUUUUGGCAAACUACUACGCUCUCCCCGCUACCAUGGUAACAGUUAGGGUGGGCAUGGGCAAAGGAGCAGCAGCUAUUGAAUAUGCAAUGAGCAGCAGAAAACAGAAAACUUUGAAAGGGACUGAAACAAAGGGUAAUAGAUGGAGAAAUCAAGACUCAUCAGACCAGGCAUCAUUCUUCCAGUCUUCAACUGUCCAGUUUUGAUCAAGACAAUUCCUGACGAUUCCAGCUGCCAAUCUGCUGACCAUCCCCUCCUCCGCAGGUUGUCCCUGUCCCUGUACAUCUGGUCAUGCUUCUGACCUGGAUUAGGUUUUAUAGGCCCUGGACACAGCCCACAAACAUUUGUUAAUUAUCACAACUUGUACUAUUAAUAUGUUCACCCAGAACCGCCUGGUUCUUCCCUAGGUUUCUUGCUAAAUUUCAGCCCCUCUUAGGGAGUUAUUCCUACCCACUGUGCUUAAACACUGUUGUUGCUUGCUCCUUUGGGUUUCAGGCUGGGUGUUUUGUAGAAGCACUUGCAGUGCUUUUGUGCUGAGUGAGAACUGCUGAUGUAAAAAGGGCUUUAUAAAUAUAUUUGAUUGAUUGAUUGAAUGAUUGAUUGAUCAAUGGUUUUUCUUUUACUGAUAUUCUGGCAAGAGGAAUGCCCUUGACCAUGCUGAAAAUAGUCAUCUGAGACAUUACUUUUAUGUCCUGCUAAUGAUAACAUGUCUUUAAUUAACAACCUCAUAAGUCCACAUUGCAGUUUGGUGUGUUGCAAACUUUAUUCUGC
Molecule: long non-coding RNA, 1209 nt
Organism: Esox lucius (northern pike)
Lineage: Eukaryota; Metazoa; Chordata; Actinopteri; Esociformes; Esocidae
Source: Ensembl